GGUGAAGCCAAUGAGCUUUUCUGGAUUUAUUCAGACAUAUUCAGUAUAAUCUCUUUAGAAUCCGAGACUGUUUCUCUUAAUAAUAUUUUUUUCAAAGAUCGAACCUAAAUUUUCCUAUCUCUACACCUAAUACCUUUGCUUUCUUGUUUGGAAUCCCACUGUGUUCUCCAUAAAAUUCCUACCCAAAUCAAGAUCAUCCGAUAAUAGCUGAGUUUUCACAUUCGAAUUCCAUCUUCCAUCACCAACUUAACCAUUAAAGGAUAAAUUUACCUCUAGCUUGAUUGGCUUGAAUUUAGAGUCCUUGGACCCCUCAUUGAAAGUGACCAUAGCAAUGGUACAUUUUUGACUGUAUGUUCAAUCUGUGACCUCGUAUAGCUUCUGUAAUUUUCCUGGAAAAAUCUCGCCUUAGUUUAUGAGCUAAGUCGAUGGGGGGCCCGA
RNAcentral lists this unclassified non-coding RNA (438 nucleotides) under Hevea brasiliensis (rubber tree). Lineage: Eukaryota; Viridiplantae; Streptophyta; Magnoliopsida; Malpighiales; Euphorbiaceae. The record is from RNAcentral.